UCAAGAUAGGAAGGGCACACGGUGGAUGCCCUGGCACCCGAACCGAAGAAGGACGUGAUUACCUGCGAAAAGCUCGGGGGAGCUGGUAGUGAGCGUUGAUCCCGAGAUAUCCGAAUGGGGGAACCCACCCUCUGGGGACAGGGGGUACCGCGCGAGCGGGGGGAACGCCGGGAACUGAAACAUCUAAGUACCGGCAGGAGAAGAAAGCGAAAGCGAUUCUCUGAGUAGCGGCGAGCGAAAGGGGAGAAGCCUAAACCGAUGUGCGUGCACAUUGGGGUUGAGGGGCGUCCAAGAUCGAAGUUGAGGCCUAGCCGAGCUGUCUGGGAAGGCAGACCGAAGAGGGUGAAAGUCCCGUAGGCGAAAGGCGGAGACUAGUAGGGCGUACCCGAGUAGUCUGGUUUUCGUGGAGAACUGGGCGAAUCUGCGCGGCCCACCGCGUAAGGCUAAAUAUUCCGGGUGACCGAUAGCGAAGCAGUACCGUGAGGGAAAGGUGAAAAGAACCCCGGGAGGGGAGUGAAAUAGAACCUGAAACCGUGUGCUUACAAGCAAUCGCGGCGCGACGAAGGCGUUGCGGUGUGCCUAUUGAAGCAUGAGCCGGCGACUUACGCUAGCGUGCGAGCUUAAGGCGGGAGCCGGAGGCGUAGCGAAAGCGAGUCCGAAGAGGGCGAGGAGUGCGUUGGCGUAGACUCGAAACCUGGAGAGCUAGUCCUGGCCAGGCUGAAGCGCGGGUGACACUGCGUGGAGGGCCGAACCGGUUGGAGAUGCAAAUCCCUCGGAUGAGCUGGGAUUAGGAGUGAAAAGCUAACCGAUCCAGGAGAUAGCUAGUUCUCCCCGAAAUGACUUUAGGGUCAGCCUCGGAUGCUGAUUGCGGCCUGUAAAGCACUGAUUGGGCUAGGGGGCCUACCAGCCUACCAAACCCUGUCAAACUCUGAAGGGAUGCAAGUGGAGUCCGGGAGUGAGGGCAUGAGUGCUAACAUCCAUGUCCAAGCGCGGGAACAACCGAGAUCGCCAGCUAAGGUCCCGAAGUUCAGGCUAAGUGGAUAAGGAUGUGAGGUUGCCGAGACAGCCAGGAGGUUGGCUUAGAAGCAGCCACCCUUGAGAGAGUGCGUAAUAGCUCACUGGUCGAGUGACCUUGCGCCGAAAAUGAUCGGGGCUUAAGCCUGACACCGAAGCUGCGGACUGUACGGAAGUGCAGUGGUAGGGGAGCGUUCCCGAUGCCGAUGAAGCCAUACCGUGAGGGGUGGUGGAGGUAAGGGAAGUGCGAAUGCCGGCAUGAGUAACGAUAAAUGGGGUGAGAAUCCCCAUCGCCGAAAACCCAAGGUUUCCUACGCGAUGGUCGUCAGCGUAGGGUUAGGCGGGACCUAAGGCGAAGCCGAGAGGCGUAGUCGACGGGCAACUGGUUAAUAUUCCAGUCCCACUCUAGGUGCGAAGGAGGGACGCUCUAGGCUAGGCAGACCGGAGCCAUGGAAGAGCCCGGCCAGAAGCGCAAAGGGGGCUAUAGGCAAAUCCGUAGUCCGCUACCGGUGCGUGGUGGGGAAGGCGUGAGCUGACAACCUGCCGAAGCCAGGGAGCCGAGAAAAGCUUCUAAGCGAAACCGAAGAGUGCCCGUACCGGAAACCGACACAGGUGGGUGGGUGUAAAUGCACCAAGGCGCGCGAGAGAACCCUCGUUAAGGAACUUUGCAAUCUAGCCCCGUAACUUCGGGAGAAGGGGUGCUUCGGGUGGCGCUGCUUGCGGCGCCAUGAGAAGCCGCAGUGAAGAGGCGCUGGCGACUGUUUACCAAAAACUCAGCUCUCUGCGAACACGGAAGUGGAAGUAUAGGGAGCGACGCUUGCCCGGUGCCGGAAGGUCAAGGGGAGGGGUGAGAGCCCUGAUCCGAAGCCCCGGUGAACGGCGGCCGUAACUAUAACGGUCCUAAGGUAGCGAAAUUCCUUGUCGGGUAAGUUCCGACCUGCACGAAAAGCGUAACGAUCAGCGCGCUGUCUCAACGAGGGACUCGGUGAAAUUGAACUGGCUGUGAAGAUGCGGCCUACCCGUGGCAGGACGAAAAGACCCCAUGGAGCUUUACUGUAGUCUGGCAUUGGCUUCUGGACAGAUCUGCGUAGGAUAGGUGGGAGCCUGGGAUCCCUGGUUUUCGGGCUGGGGUGAGGCGACGGUGAAAUACCACCCUGAUGUGUUCGGGAGCCUAACCCCUGGGAGGGGGACAGUGCUUGAUGGGCAGUUUGACUGGGGCGGUCGCCUCCCAAAGCGUAACGGAGGCGCCCAAAGGUUCCCUCAGCGUGGACGGAAACCACGCGGUGAGCGCAAGGGUAGAAGGGAGCCUGACUGUGAGGCGGGCAAGCCGAACAGGAGCGAAAGCUGGGCCUAGUGAACCGGUGGUACCGUGUGGAAGGGCCAUCGAUCAACGGAUAAAAGUUACCCUGGGGAUAACAGGCUGAUGAUUCCCGAGCGUCCAUAGCGGCGGAAUCGUUUGGCACCUCGAUGUCGGCUCGUCACAUCCUGGGGCUGAAGAAGGUCCCAAGGGUUGGGCUGUUCGCCCAUUAAAGUGGCACGCGAGCUGGGUUCAGAACGUCGUGAGACAGUUCGGUCUCUAUCCGUCACGGGCGAAGGAAGUUUGAGGGGGGCUGCUCCUAGUACGAGAGGACCGGAGUGGACGUACCGCUGGUUUUCCAGCUGUUCUUCCAAGGGCAGAAGCUGGGUAGCCAAGUACGGGAGAGAUAACCGCUGAAAGCAUCUAAGCGGGAAACUUGCCCCAAGAUGAGACUUCCCACGGAGAGAUCCGGUAAGGACCCUGCAAGACGAGCAGGUGAAUCGGCUGGAGGNGGAAGGGCAGCGAUGUCCGAAGCUGACCAGUGCGAAUGGUCCGAGGUCUUGACCUC
Molecule: ribosomal RNA, 2879 nt
Filed under: Calidithermus timidus DSM 17022
Lineage: Bacteria; Thermotogati; Deinococcota; Deinococci; Thermales; Thermaceae
Description: bacterial LSU rRNA
Rfam family: Bacterial large subunit ribosomal RNA
Source: RNAcentral